GACGAACGCUGGCGGCGGGCUUAACACAUGCAAGUCGAACGGAAAGGCCCUGCUUUUGUGGGGUGCUCGAGUGGCGAACGGGUGAGUAACACGUGAGUAACCUGCCCUUGACUUUGGGAUAACUUCAGGAAACUGGUGCUAAUACCGGAUAGGAGCUCCUGCUGCAUGGGGGGGGUUGGAAAGUUUCGGCGGUUGGGGAUGGACGCGCGGCUUAUCAGCUUGUUGGUGGGGUAGUGGCUUACCAACGCUUUGACGGGUAGCCGGCCUGAGAGGGUGACCGGCCACAUUGGUACUGAGGUACGGCCCAGACUCCUACGGGAGGCAGCAGUGGGGAAUAUUGCACAGUGGGCGGAAGCCUGUUGCAGCAACGCCGCGUGCGUGAUGACGGCUAUCGGGUUGUAAACCGCUUUCGCCUGUGACGAAGCGUGAGUGACGGUAAUGGGUAAAGAAGCACCGGCUAACUACGUG
RNAcentral lists this ribosomal RNA (468 nucleotides) under uncultured bacterium. RNAcentral's name for it is "partial 16S ribosomal RNA". It matches the Rfam family "Bacterial small subunit ribosomal RNA", at positions 28 to 507 of the family's 1533-position model. The record is from RNAcentral.